CAUGUUGCAUCUCUGCGAGUCAGUUUGAGCUCGUGCUGUUUAGAGUGAAAAGAAGGAGGAAAUAAAGAGCGGAACGGUUAUUUAAAAAUGAAAUCAAGUAUUAAGAAAGGUCAGAAGUUCCUCUUGUGUUGUUUAAAGUCGCUCUCACACAGUUUAUACUAAUGCGCUCUCACUGGUGGUCUUGUGAGGCGCAGACAUCUGCUGGCACUUGGAGAAACAAAUAAUCGCUGUUGGAACAAAGUGUGGCUGCUACGCACUGCAGGGUUUGCCGUUAUUACUCAAUUCCUGCUUCAUAUUAUUCAUACUUGUUUUUUUAAACAAAAGUUGAGAGUGUCUGUCCUUCCACAUGCGUUACACAAACUCAACUAAUGACCAAAAAAAGCUAAAACCUCACAGGGUCUCAUGGGAAGAUUUGAAACAGAUUGGAGACAUGAUAAAAAAUCAACAAUUGAAUUAAAACUCACAUCUGGUCUUUUAUUUUUCCACAAGGUGAUUUCAAAACUGAGUGAAUUAAAUGAUAAAAUAAACUGAUUCAACUCGAAGAUUACAAAAAACUUCACUCUCAGGACGGGACCUUUUUAGCAGUUCAUGUUGUAGAGGGCACCUAAAAGCACAACUUUACACAUUUUAUAGACUAAAAUGACAUUUAAAAAGCAUUUUUUAAAAUGUUUUACUCUGGAGGGACAUUCAGAAGGAACUUUAUCUACAUAUCUUCAAAGUGGACGGUCAUCCAAUAGGUAUUUUCACAUUUAAUAUUUGCUUCAUCGGCAUACAGAGGGGACUUUUUACCUUUUACACACUUAAAGGGCACAAUUUUGCAUUUAAUACACACAAAGGCACCCAAAAGGCACUUUUUUUGCAGUUUAUAUGCAAGAGAGGAGCCCUUAUAGACAUCUUUUUUAAUUGAAAUGGCAUCCUGAGGGCACGUUUUUACAUUUUAUAUAUAAGGGAGGGCAUUCAGUGGGCACUUCUACCUAAUUUUUUAAACUGUAAGGGCAUCCUGAAGGACUUUCUUUUCUGUACAGCUACAAAAGUUCACUCUGCAGCUACUGCCUAAGUUUUUUAUGCAGUUUUCACAGAAAGGGAGUCAGAAGUGACGUUUGAUGAUGUUUUAUUUAUAUAUAGAAGCAUCCAAGAGUCGCAUUUUUUCAGGCAUAAGGGCAUCAGGUGGGUGUUUGCCCUGCCUGAGUACAUCAUCGAUUGUAUGUUGUAUUAUGCCUGUUUUAAUCAGGAAAAGAGAUUUUUGGUCUUGAGGAGUUUUUCUGCAGGUCAGAUAACAUCUCAUAAAUUUGUUGUUGUAUCCAUAAAUAAAUGUAAGAUAUCAGCCACGGUGGAAACACAAACGCUUGAGCUAAUAAAACACAAUUAUUGCAAAAAAAUUCUCACUGAGAUAACGCUUAAUCAGGGAACGAGACAGAGGCCGAGAGAGAGAAACAAACACAAAGUAAAACAAAAAAGAGAACAUAGAAAUUGGAAAAAGGAUUAGCGGAUAAGUCAGGAGGGACUACUUCCUUAAACAAGAAGCCUGAGACCCACAAGAGCCUGCACCAAGCAUAGAAAUAUGACACAUAGAACUGUUUCAAAUAGAUUUAUCCUAUUAUUGUAUCAGCAGAUGUAUGCUCUCUUUGCACCAAC
Non-coding RNA from Xyrichtys novacula (pearly razorfish), 1635 nucleotides. The record is from the annotation of a GenBank genome assembly. NCBI's taxonomy places the organism in Eukaryota, Metazoa, Chordata, Actinopteri, Labriformes, Labridae.